RNAcentral lists this ribosomal RNA (492 nucleotides) under uncultured bacterium. Its description in RNAcentral is "partial 16S ribosomal RNA". It matches the Rfam family "Bacterial small subunit ribosomal RNA", at positions 29 to 507 of the family's 1533-position model. The record is from RNAcentral.
AGUGAACGCUGGCGGUAGGCCUAACACAUGCAAGUCGAACGGCAGCACAGUAAGAGCUUGCUCUUACGGGUGGCGAGUGGCGGACGGGUGAGGAAUACAUCGGAAUCUACUUUUUCGUGGGGGAUAACGUAGGGAAACUUACGCUAAUACCGCAUACGACCUACGGGUGAAAGCAGGGGAUCUUCGGACCUUGCGCGAUUGAAUGAGCCGAUGUCGGAUUAGCUAGUUGGCGGGGUAAAGGCCCACCAAGGCGACGAUCCGUAGCUGGUCUGAGAGGAUGAUCAGCCACACUGGAACUGAGACACGGUCCAGACUCCUACAGGAGGCAGCAGUGGGGAAUAUUGGACAAUGGGCGCAGGCCUGAUCCAGCCAUACUGCGUGGGUGAAGAAGGCCUUCGGGUUGUAAAGCCCUUUUGUUGGGAAAGAAAAGCAGCAGGUUAAUACCCCGCUGUUCUGACGGUACCCAAAGAAUAAGCACCGGCUAACUUCGUG